GGUCAAGCUAACCUAUGGACGUGGAUAACCUCGGGAAACUGAGAAUAAACCGCGAUAGAUCAUGAUGCCUGGAAUGGCUCAUGGUCGAAAUAGUUUACUGCCGUAGGAUGCGACUGCGGCCUAUCAGUUUGUUGGUGAGGUAAUGGCCCACCAAGACUAUUACAGGUACGGGCUCUGAGAGGAGAAGCCCGGAGAUGGGUACUGAGACACGGACCCAGGCCCUAUGGGGCGCAGCAGGCGAGAAACCUUAGCAAUGUGCGAAAGCACGACUGGGUUAGUCCGAGUGAUUCCUGCUAAAGGAAUCUUUUGCCGGUCCUAAAAGCACCGGUGAAUAAGGGGUGGGCAAGUCUGGUGUCAGCCGCCGCGGUAAUACCAGCACCUCGAGUGAUCAGGACGUUUAUUGGGCCUAAAGCAUCCGUAGCUGGCUUUGCAAGUCUCCGGUUAAAUCAACCUGCUCAACAGAUUGGCCGCUGGAGAUACUACAAGGCUAGGGAGUGGGAGAGGCAGACGGUAUUCGGGGGGUAGGGGUAAAAUCCUCUGAUCCUCUGAGGACCACCAGUGGCGAAGGCGGUCUGCCAGAACACGUUCGACAGUGAGGGAUGAAAGCUGGGGGAGCAAACCGGAUUAGAUACCCGGGUAGUCCCAGCUGUAAACGAUGCAAACUCGGUGAAGCAUUGGCUUAAUGCUAAUGCUGUGCCGCAGGGAAGCCGUUAAGUUUGCCGCCUGGGAAGUACGGUCGCAAGAUUGAAACUUAAAGGAAUUGGCGGGGGAGCACCACAAGGGGUGAAGCCUGCGGUU
Molecule: ribosomal RNA, 798 nt
Filed under: uncultured Nitrososphaerota archaeon
Lineage: Archaea; Thermoproteati; Nitrososphaerota
Description: bacterial SSU rRNA
Rfam family: Archaeal small subunit ribosomal RNA
Source: RNAcentral